CUCUUAUCAAGAGAGGCGGAGGGAAGUGCCCUAUGAAGCCCGGCAACCAACACGAAAGUGAAAAGGUGCCAAUUCACACAAAGAGCAAUCUUUGACAGAUGAGUG
Molecule: non-coding RNA, 105 nt
Filed under: Lysinibacillus sphaericus
Lineage: Bacteria; Bacillati; Bacillota; Bacilli; Caryophanales; Bacillaceae
Also listed under: 2 other names
Description: Lysinibacillus sp. SAM-I sequence
Rfam family: SAM riboswitch aptamer (S box leader)
About the family: The SAM riboswitch is found upstream of a number of genes which code for proteins involved in methionine or cysteine biosynthesis in Gram-positive bacteria. The SAM riboswitch acts at the level of transcription termination control.
Source: RNAcentral